Mus caroli (Ryukyu mouse) is the source of this 1942-nucleotide non-coding RNA. The record is from RefSeq and is a predicted model, not a curated record. Lineage: Eukaryota; Metazoa; Chordata; Mammalia; Rodentia; Muridae.
UUGUAUUGAGAGGCUGCAGUAGGCAGGGACAAGCCUUCAAUAAGUAUCGCAAGGGUUGACAGUGAUGUUGAAUUCUGCCUUUCCUUUGCCCAGUUGUCUAUAGGACUUGCUCACAUCUUGUUGCUAAUUUGUGAUUAACAAAAUCACCUAACUAUGCAACAAAUGAGAUUAAUACAAAUGAAUCCCAAUUUGCCAACAGCACUUGAAAGGUGGUCCCAGGAUCCAGUGUGUAGCUUUAAAAGGAAACAGAUGCUUUCAUGAACUUGGUCUGAAAACACCAGAUCUGCUCUAUUGGUAAAUUUUAAUGAUUUAAGUUUACUGCUUCCAGUUCUAGAGCACGGAACUCCCAGGUAAGGCCUCCGUGAUUGGUGAAGGCCUCAUGCUGGUGAGGCUGACAACAUGUUACUGUAUCCUCAGAUGCUGGAAAGGACGUUAGAAGCUCCUGGGUAUCUCACACAGGCACCAGCCUCAGUGAUACUGUCUCAUUUCAGUGUUGUAUGUGCAUAUAUCUUCUUCCUCCACUCAUGCCUGCUAACGGGCACUAGGCUGACUCUAACCUUGGCUAUUGGGAAUGGUACCACAAUGACAUGGAUAUGCAGAUAUUCCAUUGUUUGCUGACUUAGAUUCCUUCAGCAAUAAACAGCAACCAACCAAAAAACCAACAGCUUACCUUUUGGGAUCGCAGCAUGUAUAUAGCCUCUGAAAAGUCUCCAGAAUUCCAAAUAUCACACGCCAUCUACAGAUGUUGCAGAAACUGUCUACAACUGGCAAAGUCAUGUCCCUGCUAGAGCAGGAGGCAAACCCUAGCCAGCUGCUAUGGGACAAUCUGAAGCAUCCCCGCAUCUCACAUCUGGGAUUCAAAUGAGCAGAUUCUUAUCAAUAUUUCUGUAUUUUUAAAAAGAAACCAAAGUUCUCACUACAAUCCUAUCACUGCAAUGGGGAAGUAACACACAUCCCCAGUGAGCAGUUUCAGAGCCUCUCAGAACUACCCACCACACCUCCUUAGAAACACACCAUCUAGGGCUUUGCUCCGACCUUCUGAGCCAGAAGCCUGAGGAGGGCUCACUGAGCUGGAGUCUCUUGACAUUCUUCAGGUGAUUUAAACACAGCAGCAUUUGAGAACCACAGCUCGACUGUUAGGGGGAGAGAAUACAAUGAUGUGUGAUCCAGUGACACUGGAUGCUCCUGGGAAAUCAAGUCCCUUCCCUGGGCCUCCAUGUACUUAUAAAUCAGCUCUGGUAGUCAUCCUUUCUAGUGGCUUACCUGUCAUUGAAGCUGUUGCCUGAUUGCUGCAGAGUCGGGCUUUGCUCCCAGCUCCCUCUAAUGCUAGAAGCCAGGGAGCUGCUGGGCUGUGUACAUGCCACCUCUUAGCAGCUGUAAGAGCAUGGGAUUGCUAAAUGUCAAACAUGAAGAACUUUUACAAACUGGCUGUAAAACUUGUUUGCUUGAAAUGGGCCCUGGGUAAAAAAUAUUUAUUAUUAUGAAAUUGGCAAAUGCCACAAAUUGAGACUUCACCCUCUGCAGUCUCCAGAGAGCUGCUGUCCAGUACGGGGCUGCCCCAGAGCAUUCAGGCCCCCAGCUCAGAACAUAUUAAUAAAGAAAAAAAUGCCUUUCUUGUGUUCUUCAUUUUAAGGAAUGCAGCACAGCUUUUCAGGUGGUGACUGACAAAGAUUAAGGUUGUCUUGAAAAACACAUUUGGGAACAUGAUAAAUGGAGUAGAAUCUUAUAUUUUUGGUUGUGAGCCUAGCCUUUAACGGCUGAGCCAUCUCUCCAGCCCUGGAGUAGAAUCUUGAGCAGACUCCUACAUCACCAGAGAGUUAUCUGCAGUGUUUCUCUUUAUCCUUCUGUUGCAUUUGUAAGAUAACGUUGAUCAGCAUACAUGUACACAUACUCUUAUAUUCCUUUUAUAUGACUACUUAGAUACUGUACUUUGUGAUCUGUA